UCGACUGUUUACCAAAAACAUAGCCAUUAGAAAAUAUUAAUAAAGGUGAAACCUGCUCCAUGAUUAAAAAUAAAUAAAUAACAUUUAAUUAAAUAGCUGCGGUAACCGUGACCGUACUAAGGUAGCAUAAUAAAUCGUCUAUUAAUUGUAGAAUAGAAUGAAGGUCUAACGAAAAUUCAACUGUCUCAAAAAUAAAUUUGUGAAAAUUGAAAGUGUGUAAAUAUUCACACUAAAACAGCAAGACGAUAAGACCCUGCGAACUUUACAAAAAUAUUUAAACAAUAAAUCUUUAAACACAAAGUUUCGUUGGGGCAACGACCUUAUAACAGAACUAAGGUUAAAAACAAUCUCAAAAAUAAAGAUAAAUAAAUCAAUAUAAAAAAGAUAAAACCCGUUACAAAAACCUUUAAACACAACGUAAAAACAUAAAAGUUCCGCAGGGAUAACAGCGUAAUAUUAUUUCAAGAAAAUAUCUUAAAUAAAGAUUGCGACCUCGAU
This 498-nucleotide ribosomal RNA is filed under the name Semperella schulzei. Its description in RNAcentral is "partial 16S ribosomal RNA". It matches the Rfam family "Bacterial large subunit ribosomal RNA", at positions 1796 to 2530 of the family's 2925-position model. Lineage: Eukaryota; Metazoa; Porifera; Hexactinellida; Amphidiscosida; Pheronematidae. The record is from RNAcentral.